AGUAUAUGCAUAUGCAAAUAUAGAAGUGUGGAAAUUGAAUGACCACCUCUGAUGACAUCUUAAACAAUAACCUAAACAUCAGAGAAAGAACUUCUGGUGUGAUUCCUGCAUCUUCUUGCCACUUCUGUGGACUCCAACCAAUGGGAAUACCUCUCAGUUUACAAUGUAUUGAACUGCAACUGCCAUUUCACAUGUGCUGUCUGCCAAGUGGACUGAACUGAGAACAAUGAAGAUGGAAAUCACCCCAAAGAACAAUUUCUAAACUAGUCCACUUUCCCCAUAUCCUAAUGAUCUUUCUUUUCUACUACCUCUGACUCUGUUGACUGACUGAGCUGGCUUGGUCAGAUGGCACCUCAAUGUUGGAAUGCAAGUACAAAAGUGGUCAAUCAACUGGCUUUGUUGUUGCUGUUGUUGUUGUUGACAUCACCGUCCUUGUCGUCAUUGUUUCCUGUGCUGGCAGAGCCUCUGAGAGAACAGCAGUACCAAGUUCCUGUCUACAAGAACAUCUUGGCAUCAGCAAUAGUGUCAGAGUUUUCGGCAGAUGGGAAGGAUCCAAAGUGAGGUGGUCUCUGGAUGACCUUUCCUUCAAUCUCUGCUGCUCCAUUUUCAUCCCUGCCUGUACCUUACACAGGGAUGAUUUUGUGUUAAAAGUUUGGGAGGAAUGGGUGGCCCCAUACCUCAAGUGGGAGCCAUGUGGUUUUAUUGGAUGUGGCUCUAUCUCCCUGUGGUUGGGCAUUUUGGUUAAGGAUCCCCAUUGGAUCCUGAGAACCUCUCACUUUUCUGGCAUCAUGGACUUUCUAGUGGUUUCUACCCUCAUUCAUGGCCCCCCACUGCUAGAUACUUUUAUUUAUUUUCCUGGCCCUCUGGACUUCUCUCUUGUUUCUUUCCAUAACCAAUCCUACCCCCAGAUUUUCCAUCUCCUUGCCUUCUCCUACUCAGGUCCUUCUCUCCUUUUGCCCUAUGAUUAUUUUGUUUACCUUCUAAAUGGGACUAAAACAUCAA
RNAcentral lists this long non-coding RNA (1002 nucleotides) under Mus musculus (house mouse). Its description in RNAcentral is "predicted gene, 41654". Lineage: Eukaryota; Metazoa; Chordata; Mammalia; Rodentia; Muridae. The record is from RNAcentral.